This 413-nucleotide long non-coding RNA is filed under the name Drosophila guanche. The record is from RNAcentral. Lineage: Eukaryota; Metazoa; Arthropoda; Insecta; Diptera; Drosophilidae.
GAUUUGGAUUCAAGGAUGUUUCUCUUUUAGCGAGUUAUUCAUGGAAUGCGUUUGUAGAGCAGGAGUAAAGGUGAAACUUUUGCCCCUUUUUUGAGAUUUCCAGCGGUCUCAGCAAACCGAUUCGUAUCCAGCUGAAGCAGAGGCUUAGGCGAAAGGAAUUUUGAAGAGAAUAUUCAACAAGUUCCCAGGAAAUCUGCAGAAGAGCACUGCCUUUUUUCACAGGGAAGUCUUGCCAGCCAGUCGGUGGUUGUGGACAACUUUCCCCAUUGAGAAGUUCAAGAGCCUUUCUCGCUCUCUCUCUCUCUCUCUCUCUCUCUCUCUCUCUUACCCACAAUCCCUUCUGUGAGGAGUGCGAAGGAUGAGGCUGAGGAGAGGGCAUGGGUCAGUGAAAAGGAAUUAACAACGCAAUGGCC